AGUGAACGCUGGCGGUAGGCCUAACACAUGCAAGUCGAACGGCAGCACAGUAAGAGCUUGCUCUUACGGGUGGCGAGUGGCGGACGGGUGAGGAAUACAUCGGAAUCUACUUUUUCGUGGGGGAUAACGUAGGGAAACUUACGCUAAUACCGCAUACGACCUACGGGUGAAAGCAGGGGAUCUUCGGACCUUGCGCGAUUGAAUGAGCCGAUGUCGGAUUAGCUAGUUGGCGGGGUAAAGGCCCACCAAGGCGACGAUCCGUAGCUGGUCUGAGAGGAUGAUCAGCCACACUGGAACUGAGACACGGUCCAGACUCCUACGGGAGGCAGCAGUGGGGAAUAUUGGACAAUGGGCGCAAGCCUGAUCCAGCCGUACCGCGUGGGUGAAGAAGGCCUUCGGGUUGUAAAGCCCUUUUGUUGGGAAAGAAAAGCAGCAGGUUAAUACCCCGCUGUUCUGACGGUUCCCAAAGAAUAAGCACCGGCUAACUUCGUG
This 492-nucleotide ribosomal RNA is filed under the name uncultured bacterium. RNAcentral describes it as "partial 16S ribosomal RNA". It matches the Rfam family "Bacterial small subunit ribosomal RNA", at positions 29 to 507 of the family's 1533-position model. The record is from RNAcentral.